GUAGGGGGCAAGCGUUGUUCGGAAUUACUGGGCGUAAAGGGCGCGUAGGCGGCACAGCAAGUCGGGAGUGAAAGCCCGGGGCUCAACCCCGGAAUGGCUUUCGAAACUGCUGAGCUAGAGUACAGAAGGGGCAACCGGAAUUCCCAGUGUAGCGGUGAAAUGCGUAGAUAUUGGGAAGAACACCUGAGGCGAAGGCGGGUUGCUGGGCUGAUACUGACGCUGAGGCGCGAAAGCCAGGGGAGCAAACGGGAUUAGAUACCCCGGUAGUCCUGGCCCUAAACGAUGGAUACUUGGUGUAUGGGGUUCUCAAAGUCCCCGUGUGCCGGAGCUAACGCGGUAAGUAUCCCGCCUGGGGAGUACGGUCGCAAGGCUG
RNAcentral lists this ribosomal RNA (373 nucleotides) under uncultured bacterium. RNAcentral describes it as "bacterial SSU rRNA". It matches the Rfam family "Bacterial small subunit ribosomal RNA", at positions 527 to 896 of the family's 1533-position model. The record is from RNAcentral.